Molecule: ribosomal RNA, 427 nt
Filed under: uncultured beta proteobacterium
Lineage: Bacteria; Pseudomonadati; Pseudomonadota; Betaproteobacteria
Description: bacterial SSU rRNA
Rfam family: Bacterial small subunit ribosomal RNA
Source: RNAcentral
AACGCGAAGAACCUUACCUACCCUUGACUUGUAGCGAACCUCGCAGAGAUGUGAGGGUGCCCGAAAGGGAACGCUAACACAGGUGCUGCAUGGCUGUCGUCAGCUCGUGUCGUGAGAUGUUGGGUUAAGUCCCGCAACGAGCGCAACCCUUGUCAUUAGUUGCUACAUUUAGUUGGGCACUCUAAUGAGACUGCCGGUGACAAACCGGAGGAAGGUGGGGAUGACGUCAAGUCCUCAUGGCCCUUAUGGGUAGGGCCUCACACGUAAUACAAUGGCCGGUACAGAGGGUUGCCAACCCGCGAGGGGGAGCUAAUCUCAGAAAGCCGGUCGUAGUCCGGAUUGUUCUCUGCAACUCGAGAGCAUGAAGUUGGAAUCGCUAGUAAUCGCGGAUCAGCAUGUCGCGGUGAAUACGUUCCCGGGCCUUGUA